GUGCCAGCAGCCGCGGUAAUACAGAGGGGGCAAGCGUUAUUCGGAAUUAUUGGGCGUAAAGGGCGCGUAGGCGGCCCUUCAAGUGGUAGGUGAAAUCCCUCGGCUCAACCGAGGAGCUGCCCGCCAAACUGAAGAGCUUGAGUCCGGGAGAGGUGAGUGGAAUUCCCAGUGUAGCGGUGAAAUGCGUAGAUAUUGGGAGGAACACCAGUGGCGAAGGCGGCUCACUGGACCGGAACUGACGCUGAGGCGCGAAAGCGUGGGGAGCAAACGGGAUUAGAUACCCCCGUAGUCC
This 292-nucleotide ribosomal RNA is filed under the name uncultured bacterium. Its description in RNAcentral is "partial 16S ribosomal RNA". It matches the Rfam family "Bacterial small subunit ribosomal RNA", at positions 505 to 796 of the family's 1533-position model. The record is from RNAcentral.